RNAcentral lists this ribosomal RNA (394 nucleotides) under uncultured bacterium. RNAcentral describes it as "partial 16S ribosomal RNA". It matches the Rfam family "Bacterial small subunit ribosomal RNA", at positions 523 to 918 of the family's 1533-position model. The record is from RNAcentral.
AUACGGAGGAUGCGAGCGUUAUCCGGAUUUAUUGGGUUUAAAGGGUGCGUAGGCGGGCUGUCAAGUCUGUGGUGAAAAGUCAGGGCUUAACCUUGAUCGUGCCGCGGAAACUGACGGUCUUGAAUAGGGAUGCCGUUGGCGGAAUGUGGAGUGUAGCGGUGAAAUGCAUAGAUAUUCCACAGAACACCGAUUGCGAAGGCGUCUGCCGAAUCCCCGAUUGUCGCUGAUGCACGAAAGUUCGGGUAUCGACCAGGUUUAGAUACCCUGGUAGUCCGCACAGUAAGCGAUGAUAACUAGUUGUUGGCGAUAAACAGAUCAGUACCUGAGGGAAAGCGUUAAGUUAUCCACCUGGGGAGUACGGUCGCAAGGUUGAAGCUCAAAGGAAUUGACGAGG